This 468-nucleotide ribosomal RNA is filed under the name uncultured bacterium. RNAcentral describes it as "partial 16S ribosomal RNA". It matches the Rfam family "Bacterial small subunit ribosomal RNA", at positions 28 to 507 of the family's 1533-position model. The record is from RNAcentral.
GACGAACGCUGGCGGCGUGCUUAACACAUGCAAGUCGAACGGAAAGGCCCUGCUUUUGUGGGGUGCUCGAGUGGCGAACGGGUGAGUAACACGUGAGUAACCUGCCCUUGACUUUGUGAUAACUUCAGGAAACUGGGGCUAAUACCGCAUAGGAGCUCCUGCUGCAUGUUGUGGGUUGGAAAGUUUCGGCGGUUGGGGAUGGACUCGAGGCUUAUGAGCUUGUUGGUGGGGUAGUGGCUUACCAAGGCUUUGACGGGUAGCCGGCCUGAGAGGGUGACCGGGCACAUUGGGACUGAGAUACGCACCAGAAUCCUACGGGAGGCAGCAGUGGGGAAUAUUGCACAAUGGGGGGAAGCCUGAUGCAGCAACGCCGCGUGCGGGAUAACGGCCUUCGGGUUGUAAACAGCUUUCGCCUGUGACGAAGCGUGAGUGACGGUAAUGGGUAAAGAAGCAACGGCUAACUACGUG